RNAcentral lists this ribosomal RNA (776 nucleotides) under uncultured Neocallimastigales. RNAcentral describes it as "partial large subunit ribosomal RNA". It matches the Rfam family "Eukaryotic large subunit ribosomal RNA", at positions 22 to 628 of the family's 3401-position model. The record is from RNAcentral. Lineage: Eukaryota; Fungi; Neocallimastigomycota; Neocallimastigomycetes; Neocallimastigales.
GUACACGCUGUGACUAGCAUAUCAAUAAGCGGAGGAAAAGAAACUAACAAGGAUUCCCCUAGUAACGGCGAGUGAAGCGGGAAGAGCUCAAAUUUGAAAUCUUAAAGGGUUUCCCUUUACGAAUUGUAGUUUAAAGAAGUGUUUUCUGUUGAGGUUUUGGUAAAAGUUCUUUGGAAUAGGACAUCAUAGAGGGUGAGAAUCCCGUAUUUGACCUUUACUUUCAACUUUGUGAUACACUUUCAAAGAGUCGGAUUGUUUGGGAAUGCAGUCCAAAAUGGGUGGUAAAUUUCAUCUAAAGCUAAAUAUUGGCGAGAGACCGAUAGCGAACAAGUACCGUGAGGGAAAGAUGGUAAAGAACUUUGAAAAGAGAGUUAAACAGUACGUGAAAUUGUCAAAAGGGAAGCGUUUGACACCAGUGUUGUUUUUCUGAAAAUCAAUUAAAGAACUGUUUAUGCUAAGCUUGUUUAGACUUUAUCAGCUAUCUGUUUAGUUUUGAGCUUUUCUUUAAUGCACUUUUCAGUUAACAAGUCAACAUCAAUUUCUUUUGCUGUAAAAAAGCUUGAGGAAGGUGGCUUGAGAUUCGUCUUAAGUGUUUAUAGCCUCUUGCCUAUGCAGUCGGAGAGAUUGAGGUCUGCAGCGUAGAUCCUUCGGGGCUAAAUGCAUUUGUGCUAAGUUAUAGCAUUUUAUAGACAACUUGUUGACUAUGAUUUGUCUUGUAGCUUACUCGCUUAUGUUAUUUUACCUACGCUUAGGAUGUUGAGUCGUAGAGCACGCAG